GAUGAACGCUGGCGGCGUGCCUAAUACAUGCAAGUCGAGCGAACAGAUGAGGAGCUUGCUCCUCUGACGUUAGCGGCGGACGGGUGAGUAACACGUGGAUAACCUACCUAUAAGACUGGGAUAACUUCGGGAAACCGGAGCUAAUACCGGAUAAUAUAUUGAACCGCAUGGUUCAAUAGUGAAAGACGGUUUUGCUGUCACUUAUAGAUGGAUCCGCGCCGCAUUAGCUAGUUGGUAAGGUAACGGCUUACCAAGGCAACGAUGCGUAGCCGACCUGAGAGGGUGAUCGGCCACACUGGAACUGAGACACGGUCCAGACUCCUACGGGAGGCAGCAGUAGGGAAUCUUCCGCAAUGGGCGAAAGCCUGACGGAGCAACGCCGCGUGAGUGAUGAGGGUCUUCGGAUCGUAAAACUCUGUUAUUAGGGAAGAACGAAUGUGUAAGUAACUAUGCACGUCUUGACGGUACCUAAUCAGAAAGCCACGGCUAACUACGUG
RNAcentral lists this ribosomal RNA (497 nucleotides) under uncultured bacterium. RNAcentral's name for it is "partial 16S ribosomal RNA". It matches the Rfam family "Bacterial small subunit ribosomal RNA", at positions 28 to 507 of the family's 1533-position model. The record is from RNAcentral.